GACGAACGCUGGCGGCGUGCUUAACACAUGCCAGUCGAACGGGAAGGCCCUGCUUUUGUGGGGUGCUCGAGUGGCGAACGGGUGAGUAACACGUGAGUAACCUGCCCUUGACUUUGGGAUAACUUCAGGAAACUGGGGCUAAUACCGGAUAGGAGCUCCUGCUGCAUGGUGGGGGUUGGAAAGUUUCGGCGGCUGGGGAUGGACUCGCGGCUUAUCAGCUUGUUGGUGGGGUAGUGGCUUACCAAGGCUUUGACGGGUAGCCGGCCUGAGAGGGUGACCGGCCACAUUGGGACUGAGAUACGGCCCAGACUCCUACGGGAGGCAGCAGUGGGGAAUAUUGCACAAUGGGCGGAAGCCUGAUGCAGCAACGCCGCGUGCGGGAUGACGGCCUUCGGGUUGUAAACCGCUUUCGCCUGUGACGAAGCGUGAGUGACGGUAAUGGGUAAAGAAGCACCGGCUAACUACGUG
This 468-nucleotide ribosomal RNA is filed under the name uncultured bacterium. RNAcentral's name for it is "partial 16S ribosomal RNA". It matches the Rfam family "Bacterial small subunit ribosomal RNA", at positions 28 to 507 of the family's 1533-position model. The record is from RNAcentral.